Molecule: ribosomal RNA, 253 nt
Filed under: uncultured bacterium
Lineage: Bacteria
Description: partial 16S ribosomal RNA
Rfam family: Bacterial small subunit ribosomal RNA
Source: RNAcentral
UACGUAGGGAGCAAGCGUUGUUCGGAUUUACUGGGCGUAAAGGGCGCGUAGGCGGCGUGUCAAGUCGAUUGUGAAAUCUCCGGGCUUAACUCGGAACGGCCAAUCGAUACUGACGUGCUAGAGUGCAGAAGGGGCAAUCGGAAUUCUUGGUGUAGCGGUGAAAUGCGUAGAUAUCAAGAGGAACACCUGAGGUGAAGACGGGUUGCUGGGCUGACACUGACGCUGAUGCGCGAAAGCCAGGGGAGCAAACGGG